CUCUGUGGCCUCCCUCCCGGGUGGGCACACUCUGUCCUUUCCCGGUGUUUCCAUGCGGUCCCUCUGCGUGUGCCUGUGUUCUACCCCCGCUCUAACAAGGUCACCAGCUAGAUAGGAUUGGGGCCACCCUAGUGACCUCAUUUAACCUCCGUCUCCCGUCUGAAGACGCCGUCUGCAAAUACAGUCCCAGUCACAAGUGCUGGCUCUCAGGGCUCGAACAGGGGAGCCCGGGGGGGGGGGGGCGCCGCUCAGCCGCAGGAGCCCGUGGCGCUGUCCCAGGGCGGUGCCCGCCUCUCGCCUGGAGAACAAGAAGGGGUUCCCUGCACACCGUGCUCUGCUGGGAGAGCGUGGUUCUGGGUCAGAGGAUGGAGCGCCAACAGACCUUGCAAGGGGAGGCGCAGGCAGGAAAGCGUCCCGGGCUCUCGGUUGAGGAAUGGUCUCAGACCCAGCUGCCGCACACCGGGGCCCCUGCCAAACACCGAUGGUUCACAAGGUGAGGGGAUCCAGGGAAGGGAAGCGAGUAGAGUGAGAGGUGGGCGAGGGGCCCGUGGCGUUCUGCCGGGCAGAACGUGGUGCGAACACACAGAAAGCAGGUGGAGAAUAGAAAAGGGGGCAAAACUCUUCACGUCCCUCAGUUUGCAGAGCUGUUUGCCUCAGUCCGUCCUCCCCCAGCUGGUGAGUCGCGGGGCGGGCUGCAUCCGGUCCAGCGGGACGAAGAAGGAAGCAGGAUGAGCGAGGUGUGGUCUAGAGCCCCGUGGACGUGGGCCAGGGGUGACCUUUGAGUCCCACGUGGUCCCCAGUCCCUCCGGGAGCCAGCAGGGAGCCAGUUUGUCCUCUGGGCCCGUAGGCACACCGGUAAGUGGGGACUUCCAUACCAGGGGAGCGCAGUCUGACAGUCUGGCUGCAGGCUGAGGUCAAAGCCGUGCCUUAGUGGCUGGAGGCCCGCGUCUGAGCGGGGCUCUGCUCUGCUAACCCCCAAGUCCCCUCGCUGCUCUGAUUCUGUUCUCGUUCCCAGAAGGAAGGGGCUGGGCCAGUCGGC
Molecule: long non-coding RNA, 1039 nt
Filed under: Felis catus (domestic cat)
Lineage: Eukaryota; Metazoa; Chordata; Mammalia; Carnivora; Felidae
Description: lncRNA (ENSFCAG00000049856.1)
Source: RNAcentral